RNAcentral lists this transfer RNA (85 nucleotides) under Felis catus (domestic cat). It matches the Rfam family "tRNA". From Rfam's summary of the family: Transfer RNA (tRNA) molecules are approximately 80 nucleotides in length. Their secondary structure includes four short double-helical elements and three loops (D, anti-codon, and T loops). Further hydrogen bonds mediate the characteristic L-shaped molecular structure. tRNAs have two regions of fundamental functional importance: the anti-codon, which is responsible for specific mRNA codon recognition, and the 3' end, to which the tRNAs corresponding amino acid is attached (by aminoacyl-tRNA synthetases). tRNAs cope with the degeneracy of the genetic code in two manners: having more than one tRNA (with a specific anti-codon) for a particular amino acid; and 'wobble' base-pairing, i.e. permitting non-standard base-pairing at the 3rd anti-codon position. Lineage: Eukaryota; Metazoa; Chordata; Mammalia; Carnivora; Felidae. The record is from Rfam by way of RNAcentral.
GCCUGGGUGGCUCAGUCGGUUGGGUGCCUGACUUUGGCUCAGGUCAUGAUCUCACAGUUCGUGGGUUCGAGCCCCACGUUGGGCU